CCGGCGCACGGGUGAGUAACGCGUAUGCGACCUGCCCGUUGCAGGGGGAUAAUCGGGAGAAAUCCCGUCUAAUACCGCGUAACGCCGCGGGGCUGCAUGGCCCUGCGGCCAAAGGGGGCGAUUCCGGCAACGGAUGGGCAUGCGUGACAUUAGCUAGUUGGCGGGGCAACGGCCCACCAAGGCGACGAUGUCUAGGGGUUCUGAGAGGAAGGUCCCCCACACUGGUACUGAGACACGGACCAGACUCCUACGGAAGGCAGCAG
RNAcentral lists this ribosomal RNA (263 nucleotides) under uncultured bacterium. Its description in RNAcentral is "partial 16S ribosomal RNA". It matches the Rfam family "Bacterial small subunit ribosomal RNA", at positions 95 to 354 of the family's 1533-position model. The record is from RNAcentral.